Molecule: long non-coding RNA, 223 nt
Filed under: Nicotiana benthamiana
Lineage: Eukaryota; Viridiplantae; Streptophyta; Magnoliopsida; Solanales; Solanaceae
Description: long non-coding RNA (NBEN_LNC032202)
Source: RNAcentral
CUUGAUGCACCUAACUUGGUCAAGAUCACGCGCCUUCCUUUCCCUUACUUUAGCUAACCGGAAUACCUUUUUGUCCCCGCCUCUCUCCCUAGUUCCUCGUACAUGCGACCAAACACCACAUUUUUAGUUUCCGUAACCGCCAGCUUUGCUUCUUCCCUCGCCACCUUAUAGAUCUCCCUGUUCGCUCUGCGUUCUUCCUCGCUUGUGCUCCCUGCCAACUUAG